This 306-nucleotide long non-coding RNA is filed under the name Glycine max (soybean). RNAcentral's name for it is "long non-coding RNA (GMAX_LNC000226)". Lineage: Eukaryota; Viridiplantae; Streptophyta; Magnoliopsida; Fabales; Fabaceae. The record is from RNAcentral.
UUGAUUUAUUUAUGAAGAGUGGUUGUUGGGUGAAGAAGUGGGAGCAGAGAAGAACCAGAGGAUGACGGCGCAGAGGAGAACGAGGAGAGGGAUAAGAUGGACGGCGUUUUGAGCUGAUCUGAGACGAGAGAGGUCUCUCUGGGCAACGUGGGAGAGGGGAUCGUAUGUGGGUAGGUGUUGGUCGGAGUCCAUGUUGUCGGGCGUCAAGGAUAACGAUGUCGAUGUCUUACGCCAAACACUACCACUCCACGACCUCUGCAUAAUAUGUUUCUUGUGCUGGUUGGUUGAUUGGCCGCACCGCAGAGG